CUGGAAACCGGACUUGCCAUCUCCUACGGAAGAAUUAGCCUCACCAUACUGAACAGUCAGCCCCUACCUGAAUUUCCAAAGUGUUGAGCCUGAAUUAGUAGCUUUCAGGAUAAUCACAUCUCAUGAGAGCUAAAUGAAAAACCAGACUUUUUAAAAGUCACCUUCAACAUCUGUACUGUAGUAUUCAAAAUAUUAGUUACGGAAGUGAUUGUGGAGCAUUUAAACAUUCGAUUGUGUUUGUUUAAACUUUGAAAUGAAGAUGAAUUCCAGAGUGGGAACAUGAAGUCUUUGGUGACGUGAACCAGCUGAGGGCAGUGCUGCCGCCUCUGCACUUGUUCAAGUGCCAGGGCUUGGCCUCCGGCCCGAGGGCAGGUGAGUUCCUGAGCCACUGUGGCUCACCCCGCCCUGCUCCGUCUGCGCUAGGUUGCAGCCCCACCCACGUCACGGUGUACAGCGAGUAUGGCGUGGACGUCUUUGAUGUGCGCACCAUGGAGUGGGUGCAGACCAUCGGCCUGCGGAGGAUAAGGCCCCUGAACUCUGAAGGCACCCUCAACCUCCUCAACUGCGAGCCUCCACGCUUGAUCUACUUCAAGAGCAAGUUCUCGGGAGCGGUUCUCAACGUGCCGGACACCUCCGACAACAGCAA
This 646-nucleotide small RNA is filed under the name Pan troglodytes (chimpanzee). RNAcentral's name for it is "retained intron". Lineage: Eukaryota; Metazoa; Chordata; Mammalia; Primates; Hominidae. The record is from RNAcentral.